AGAGUUUGAUCCUGGCUCAGGAUGAACGCUGGCGGCGUGCCUAAUACAUGCAAGUCGAACGCUUCACGCAAGUGAAGAGUGGCGAACGGGUGAGUAAAACAUAAGCAACCUGGCCUUAACAGGGGGAUAACUGUGGGAAACGACAGCUAAAACCGCAUAGGCAUAUAUAACGCAUGAUAUAUAUGUUAAAAGUCCUAAGGGACUGGUAAAGGAUGGGCUUAUGGAGCAUUAGUUAGUUGGUGGGGUAAAGGCCUACCAAGACGACGAUGCAUAGCCGGCCUGAGAGGGUGAACGGCCACACUGGGACUGAGACACGGCCCAGACUCCUACGGGAGGCAGCAGUAGGGAAUUUUCGGCAAUGGGGGGAACCCUGACCGAGCAACGCCGCGUGAAGGAAGAAGGCCUUAGGGUUGUAAACUUCUGUUAUAAAGGAAGAAAGACAAGUACAGGGAAUGGUACAUGAGUGACGGUACUUUAUGAGAAAGCCACGGCUAACUACGUGCCAGCAGCCGCGGUAAUACGUAGGUGGCAAGCGUUAUCCGGAAUUAUUGGGCGUAAAGAGGGAGCAGGCGGUAAUCAAGGUCUGUGGUGAAAGACUGAAGCUCAACUUCAGUAAGCCAUGGAAACCAAAUAACUAGAGUGCAGGAGAGGAUCGUGGAAUUCCAUGUGUAGCGGUGAAAUGCGUAGAUAUAUGGAGGAACACCAGUGGCGAAGGCGGCGAUCUGGCCUGAAACUGACGCUCAGUCCCGAAAGCGUGGGGAGCAAAUAGGAUUAGAUACCCUAGUAGUCCACGCCGUAAACGAUGAGUACUAAGUGUUG
Molecule: ribosomal RNA, 819 nt
Filed under: feces metagenome
Description: bacterial SSU rRNA
Rfam family: Bacterial small subunit ribosomal RNA
Source: RNAcentral